This 6556-nucleotide long non-coding RNA is filed under the name Sorghum bicolor (sorghum). RNAcentral's name for it is "long non-coding RNA (SBIC_LNC004048)". The record is from RNAcentral. Lineage: Eukaryota; Viridiplantae; Streptophyta; Magnoliopsida; Poales; Poaceae.
UUAAUCUACCACUAGAAACAGAGAAACAGAUAGGUUAGGGUUUCGACCAUCAGCGUUCCCGGCGAGAGCGGAUCCGGUGGCGUCCAUGUCGAGAGUGCUGACGCGGUGGCGGAGUAGAUCCCGUCGUCCUUCGGGCCUCCACCGGCACUGACCGACGACGGCGGGGUAGGAGAGAGGCGCAGUGGUGCUUCCCGACGCCACUGCGCAAGCCGAUCGGAUGUCCUAGGGUUUGUCGAGUAGGGUUUUGUGCACGGUGAACUUCGUCAAACGUGCCUGCGGCCCCCACUCCUGUUUAUAUAGCGCAGCGCGUCGGGGGCCCACCAACCAUGGAUCGGUUGGGCGCCCCCGAUCAGGGCGCGAUCCAGGGGGUAAGAGGCCCCAGCCGUUGGGCUGGGCCUGAGAUCAACCUAACAUUCUCCCCCUUGAUCUCAACUGUGUUAUCUCGCUUUGUCAACUCACCCCAUCACAAAACAGUGUAUUGAGCAUGCUUCAUCUUGACAGUUAUCACUGCUAGAUUAGACAGCCACAAACACUUUUCUAUUUAGAGAUGAAUUCUCGCCUUGGGCCCCUUACUAUCCAGGAAUCACAGGCUUUCCCUUAAACCCAUGCCGGCUACAUGUUCUCUAAACACGUUGGGCGGUAAGCCUUUGGUAAGCGGAUCCGCUAGCAUCUUUUCUGUGCUUAUAUGUUCAAGACUUAUGACGUGAUCCCGGAUUUUAUCCUUGACAACAUAAUAUUUUAUGUCAAUGUGCUUGGCUGCAUUGCUUGACUUAUUGUUGUGAGCAUACAACACUGCUGGCUCGUUGUCACAAUACAACUUUAGUGGUUUAUCGAUGCUGUCGACCACCUUUAAACUGGGUAUAAAUUUCUUAAGCCAAUUCACCUGUCCUGAUGCCUCAUAACAAGCAAUAAACUCAGCAUACAUUGUGGACGAUGCAGUGACUAUUGUUUGUUUUGAGCUCUUCCAUGAUAUGGCUCCUUGCGCGAGAGUGAAUACAUACCCUGAGGUAGACUUUCUAUCAUCUCCCGCGUAAUCAGAGUCUGAAUACCCUACUAUUUGUAGGUCAUCAGAUCUUCUAUAGGUUAACAUGAGCCCUUUCGUGCCUUGCAAGUACCUUAAGACUUUCUUUACUAGAUUCCAGUGUUCCAUACCUGGAUUACUUUGAUAUCUACCAAGUAACCCGGUUACAAAAGCCAGGUCUGGGCGUGUGCACACUUGAGCAUACUGUAAGCUUCCGACAGCUGAAGCGUAUGGAACGGCUUGCAUGCGAUCGCGCUCGAACUUGCUCUUGGGACAUUGAUGUUCCCCAUACUUGUCACCUUUUACAAUAGGAGCAGGUGAAGGUCUACACUUAUGCAUAUUGAAUUUCUUCAAUAUUUUCUCUAUAUAUGCCUCUUGGGACAAUCCCAAUACCCCUCGACUUCUAUCUCGGUGAAUCUUUAUGCCCAAGACAAAAGAAGCUUCACCUAAAUCUUUCAUAUCGAAAUUUGAGGACAAAAAUCUCUUGGUUUCCUGCAGUAGAGUAACAUCACUACUGGCUAGUAGAAUGUCAUCUACAUACAGUACUAGGAAAAUGUAUUUCCCAUUCUUAAACUUUGCAUAUACGCAAUUGUCCUCAACGUUCUCUGUAAACCCAAACUUUCUGAUUGUCUUAUCAAACUUUAAAUACCACUGCCUGGAUGCUUGCUUUAAUCCAUAAAUGGAUUUCUUCAGGCGACAGCCCAUUCUUUCUUUGCCUGUCACAACAAAACCUUUCGGUUGUGCCAUGUAUACUCUUUCUUCUAGAUCCCCAUUGAGAAAAGCUGUCUUCACAUCCAUUUGAUGCAAUUCUAGAUCAAAAUGUGCCACUAGGGCCAUUAUGAUUCUAAAAGAGUCCUUGCUCGAGACGGGAGAGAAUGUUUCAUUAUAAUCUAUCCCUUCUCGCUGAGUAAAACCCUUGGCUACCAGUCUUGCUUUGUACCUUUCUAUGUUCCCUUUGGAGUCACGUUUCACCUUGUAGACCCAUUUGCAGCCUACUGUUUUGGCUCCUUCAGGAAUGUUCUCUAGGUCCCAAACUUUAUUGGUACUCAUAGACUUUAAUUCAUCUUCCAUGGCUUCUUGCCACUUAGAUGCUUCGGUGCUCCUCAUGGCUUCUUCAAAUGAAGUGGGUUCAUCCUCCAUCUGAACUUCUUCGCAUUCAUAGACUAUAUAGUCAUCUGGAAUAGGAGACUUUCUUGCUCUUUGAGGUCUGCCAGAAGUUUCUGCUACUGGCAUUUCUUCUUGAGAUUGCUCUUGUUGGGGCUGUUGUUCUUCGACUAUGGGUUCAUUCGGCUCCUGAGGGACAGGUUCCAAAUUGGCCAUAGGCGAAAAAGCAGCAGGUGUUGUCACUACUGGUGUAGAUCCAACAACAACAGGCAGCGUAAAGUAGGGUUCUUGCACCAUGGGAAUGGGCACGAACACCCGCUUCUCUUCAAGGUUAAUUUCUCGCGCUGCCUUGCUCCCCCUGAUCAUCUGAUCUUCUAGAAAACUAGCGUGUCUCGUUUCCACAAACUUGGUAUGUCUACCAGGGCAGUAGAAACGAUAACCUUUCGACUUUUCUGGAUAGCCAAUGAAAUGACAACUUACUGUUUUGGGGUCUAGCUUUCCUAUGUUUGGGUUAAACACUUUUGCUUCAGCGGGGCUCCCCCAGACACGCAGAUGGUUGACUGAGGGUUUCCUGCCGGUCCACAACUCAUACGGGGUUUUAAGUACUGACUUGCUUGGAACUCUGUUGAGAAUAUGAAUGGCGGUUUUUAAGGCCUCCAUCCACAAACUCAGUGGCAGAGUGGAAUAGCUCAUCAUGCUGCGCACCAUAUCCAUUAGAGUACGGUUACGCCUUUCUGCUACUCCAUUCUGCUGUGGGUCCCCUGGCAUUGAAUACUGGGCUACUAUGCCAUUUUCCUGUAAGAACCUUGCAAAGGGUCCAGGAACUUGUCCAUAAGGGGUAUGUCGACCGUAGUACUCCCCCCCACGGUCAGAUCUUACUACUUUGAUUUUUCUGUCUAGUUGGUUUUCAACCUCAGCCUUGAAUAUCUUAAAUUUAUCUAAAGCUUCUGAGCGUUCUUUGAUUGGAUAGAUGUAUCCAAAACGAGAGUAGUCAUCUGUGAAUGUGAUGAAGGAAUCAAAACCAUCCACAGAUGUCACUGGAAAAGGUCCACAGAUGUCUGUGUGGAUCAAUUCUAGUACUCCCAUGCUUCGCUUAGCGCCUUUCUUUAUGUUCUUUACUAACUUGCCUUUAAUGCAAUCAACGCAUUGCUCUAACUCUGAGAGUUCUAAUGGUGGGAGGAUUGAUUCUUUGACUAAGCGUUCUAUUCUCCCCCUCGAAAUAUGGCCUAAACGACAGUGCCAUAAUUUCGAUGAGGAAUCAAUUCUCUUUCUUUUCUUGCUAGCAUCUGCGGGUAUUGCAUUCUCAGCAUUAUUACAUUCAGCAUUCACAUUCUCAGACAAAGAUAAUAAAUAAAGUUUGUCUUGUCGGAAGGCAAGACCCACACAUUUAUUAUUUAACUGUAGCUUACAAUCAUUCUUGCUGAAAUGGCAAUCAAAACCAUAGUCUGACAAACAUGAAACUGAAAUUAAAUUUCUAGCUAAAGAGGGAACAUAAAGAACAUCAUGCAACUCAAGGGUGAAGCCACUAGCUAAAUCUAGAGAUAAAUUUCCUAUAGCUUGAACUUCAGCUUCAACACCAGUGGCCACCUUAAUCUGUCUUUCUCCUCUUUGAAGGGUUCUCCCUCCACUGAAUCCCUGCAAAGAGUUUGCAACAUGAACAGUUGCACCUGAGUCAAUCCACCAUGUGGAUCUAGCAUAACUUAGAUAUAAGGAUUCAUCAACAAAAGUUAUAAUGUCCUCACCUUUCACUAGGCAAUGUUUCAUGAACUUAGGGCAGUCAUGCUUCCAAUGCCCUGUCUCAUUACACCAUCUACAGCGAUCCGGGUCCUCCUGCCUGUGCUGGUUGUCUUGCUUUGGGUGUGCUUUAGGCUGUGAAGUGCUUCCUCCCUUGUUCUGGGAGGUGGAGGCAUCUGGAGCUUUCUUGUUGUAGAAUGGCUUCUUGUUCUUUCCUUUCACAAAGUUCACAGAACCACCAUUUGCAUUCUUGAGCCUUUCUUCCUCUUGCACACACAUAGCAAUCACCUUCUCUAAAUCCCACUCCUCUGGCUGUGUGUUGUAGUUAACAACAAAUGUCUCAUACUCUUUAGGAAGUGAGUUUAGAGCUAGGUGAAUGAGGAAACCAUCAGCGAGGGGCAUCUUUAGCUUCUCUAACUUGGCUGCCAUGGUGCUCAUGCUCAGAAUGUGCUCUCUCACACUCCCCCCUGUGAACCUCAUGUUAGUGAGUUUCUGGAUCAGGGUGGAAGCAUGAGCUUUGGUGGAACCAGUGAACUGAUUCUUCACUUUCUCAAGAUAUUCUUUUGCUGUGUCACAUUCUGGGAUGGCACCUCUUAGGCCCUCUGUGAUAGUUUUCUUGAUGACAAUCUUGCACUUGCGGUUUGACUUUUCCCACUUGUACUUCUCAAGAUCAUACUUUGCUCUGAUGGGAGCAAAGUCUCGCUUCCGAUUAGCAAAAGCUUCAUCGGUCUCAUUCUGAGCCCUUUCGGGCUCCUCUGGCUCAGUGGGCUUUGGCUCCUGAAGAGCCAAAUCUAUCUCAGCAAGUGCUAGAGCAGCAUCAAGUUCCUCGCGCCACAGAACAUAGUUCUGCCCCGUCAGCUUUGGGAUUGCACUGAUGAAGUGCAUCGCAUUGAGUGCUUGGUCUGAAAUUAAAUAUGAGAAAAUAGUGAGAACAUUAACAUUAAAUCUAGGAAAAAAUAAUUGCAUAUCUUAAUUUAACGUUGGUCAAAAUCAAGAUAUACAAAAAGUUAACUCUCUACAUAAAUUCUAAUCACCGUUGGGCAGAAUAGAAUAUAUGCAUAAAAUUAGAACUCGAAAUUUGCAAUAUUGCUAUUAUUAACGUUGGUCAAAAAAUAACAAUAUCACAAAAAUACUGGGCUUUAAAAACUCGUUUCUCAAAUUAAAUAUCCCGUUGGUUCAAUUUAAUAGGAGAAUAACUUGCGCAGCGGAAAACAUUAAUUUUCUUGCUAUUUUCAGAAGCAUAAUUUGCUGACUGUGCUUUUCUAGAUAAUAUACACGUUGGUGCAAAUUAAAUAGAAUUUAAAACUGAGCAAAACAUUAUUUAAAUGCUUCUGAAAAUAAAAUGGAAUAUGAAAAAAGAAAUUUCUGUGCUUAAACAGGCCGCGGCCAACGAUUCGGCCCACGGUCGCUUGCGGCCCAGCUCGGCGCGCGGAGCAGCGCGCAGCGCCCAGGCCUGCCUUUUUUUUUUCUCUCUUCGCUGACUGGAUUUUUGCGGCCCAGUUAGGUGAAAACGGCCCAUGGCCGACCCGCGCACAGGCGCCCCCCGCGCCCAGGCCGCAACCUGGGCCUGGGCCGGGAAAUCGCCAUCCCGCCUGGGCCGAAAAAGGCCCAGUGCCAUCCUGGCCGUUGAUCUCAAUCCAACGGUGCAACGAAAAAUUCGCUGGGAUAAAAACUGCUGGCCGCCACUUACUCUCCCAAACCCUAAUUUCUUUCUUCUUCGUUCCCUCUCCAGCACAGGGACAGAGCCGCCGCCGGCGCUCUUCCUUGCUUCUCUUCUGCGCGCGGGCACAGGGCCGACGCCGGCGCUUCUCCAGCGCACAACACUCGGGGCGGCAGUGGCCAGGCCGGGCCGGAGGGGCUAACGGCGCCGCCACGAGCCCUCUCGCCGGCGCGCGCGCUCGCUCAUGGCGGAGCGCGCCGCCGUCGAGCGGCUUCGUGUGCGGUGCCUCUCGCGGCCGGUGGGUGACCGCGUCACGGGUAGGUGGACGGUUUCCCCAUUCUUGCUCUUGCUUGUAGGGUUAGGGUUCGUUGGUUCCCUUGCCUAUUCUCAUUCUUUCGCGUUUGGAUCUGGGCGUUAGGGUUAGGGAGGUCUCGGUUUUGACUGAGUUAGGUUUAGGAUUUGGAAACGAAUCCCCUCUUACUUGCUGUGCUCGCUGGGUAGUCCCCGAGCCCCGAUCUACUACUAGAUCGGCCGAUACCAUUGAUAAUAAACAGGAUCUACUAGCAGUGAAUCGAGUCGGGGUACAAAUAACAUAUAGCAGUAAACAGUGGCACAUGCAUAUGAUUAAUCUACCACUAGAAACAGAGAAACAGAUAGGUUAGGGUUUCGACCAUCAGCGUUCCCGGCGAGAGCGGAUCCGGUGGCGUCCAUGUCGAGAGUGCUGACGCGGUGGCGGAGUAGAUCCCGUCGUCCUUCGGGCCUCCACCGGCACUGACCGACGACGGCGGGGUAGGAGAGAGGCGCAGUGGUGCUUCCCGACGCCACUGCGCAAGCCGAUCGGAUGUCCUAGGGUUUGUCGAGUAGGGUUUUGUGCACGGUGAACUUCGUCAAACGUGCCUGCGGCCCCCACUCCUGUUUAUAUAGCGCAGCGCGUCGGGGGCCCACCAACCAUGGAUCGGUUGGGCGCCCCCGAUCAGGGCGCGAUCCAGGGGGUAAGAGGCCCCAGCCGUUGGGCUGGGCCUGAGAUCAACCUAACA